This 329-nucleotide unclassified non-coding RNA is filed under the name uncultured Rickettsiales bacterium. Its description in RNAcentral is "contains 16S-23S intergenic spacer region". It matches the Rfam family "Bacterial small subunit ribosomal RNA", at positions 866 to 1195 of the family's 1533-position model. Lineage: Bacteria; Pseudomonadati; Pseudomonadota; Alphaproteobacteria; Rickettsiales. The record is from RNAcentral.
ACCCCGCCUGGGGAGUACGGUCGCAAGAUUAAAACUCAAAGGAAUUGACGGGGACCCGCACAAGCGGUGGAGCAUGUGGUUUAAUUCGAGGCUACGCGAAAAACCUUACCAGCUCUUGACAUCCUGAUCGCCGCGCUUGUAAUGAGCGCUUCAUUUAGUUGGAUCAGAGACAGGUGCUGCAUGGCUGUCGUCAGCUCGUGUCGUGAGAUGUUGGGUUAAGUCCCGCAACGAGCGCAACCCUCAUCAUUAGUUACCAUCAGGUUAAGCUGGGGACUCUAAUGAAACUGCCGGUGACAAGCCGGAGGAAGGUGGGGAUGACGUUCUCUACG